RNAcentral lists this unclassified non-coding RNA (257 nucleotides) under Schizothecium formosanum. RNAcentral describes it as "partial internal transcribed spacer region". The stretch from base 1 to 46 matches the Rfam family "Eukaryotic small subunit ribosomal RNA", at positions 1786 to 1831 of the family's 1831-position model. RNAcentral also lists the same sequence under 1 other name. The record is from RNAcentral. Lineage: Eukaryota; Fungi; Ascomycota; Sordariomycetes; Sordariales; Schizotheciaceae.
AAGUCGUAACAAGGUCUCCGUUGGUGAACCAGCGGAGGGAUCAUUACAGAGUUGCAAAACUCCCAACCAUUGUGAACCUACCUCACCGUUGCUUCGGCGGGUGGCCCCUCCCCCUCACCCGGGUUGGGACCGCGCUGGCCCCCGGCUCCCGGGCGCUGGCAAUCCCGUCAAAGGACCUGAACCUUCUGUAAUUAUUGGCCUCUCUGAGUAACUUAUACAAUAAGUCAAAACUUUCAACAACGGAUCUCUUGGUUCUG